RNAcentral lists this ribosomal RNA (419 nucleotides) under uncultured bacterium. RNAcentral's name for it is "bacterial SSU rRNA". It matches the Rfam family "Bacterial small subunit ribosomal RNA", at positions 958 to 1392 of the family's 1533-position model. The record is from RNAcentral.
AACGCGAAGAACCUUACCUGGGCUUGAACGUGUGGUGACAGCCGGUGAAAGCCGGUCUCCCUUCGGGGCACCAUGCGAGGUGAUGCACGGCUGUCGUCAGCUCGUGCCGUGAGGUGUUGGGUUAAGUCCCGCAACGAGCGCAACCCUUGUCGCUAGUUGUACUUUUCUAGCGAGACUGCCCGUAGCAAACGGGAGGAAGGCGGGGAUGACGUCAAGUCAGCGUGUCCCUUACGUCCAGGGCUACACACACGCUACAAUGGCCGGCACAACGGGUCGCGACACGGCGACGUGAAGCUAAUCCCUGAAAACCGGCCUCAGUUCAGAUUGCAGGCUGAAACCCGCCUGCAUGAAGGUGGAGUUGCUAGUAACCGUGGGUCAGCAUACCGCGGUGAAUACGUUCCCGGGCCUUGUACACACCG